GGGUGUGAUUGUGGAAUUACACGAGGCUUCUAACCUUGUAAAGGAGGUUCGAUUCCUUCCAUACCCU
This 67-nucleotide transfer RNA is filed under the name Hydroides norvegica. Its description in RNAcentral is "tRNA-Ser". It matches the Rfam family "tRNA". From Rfam's summary of the family: Transfer RNA (tRNA) molecules are approximately 80 nucleotides in length. The record is from RNAcentral. Lineage: Eukaryota; Metazoa; Annelida; Polychaeta; Sabellida; Serpulidae.